Molecule: ribosomal RNA, 460 nt
Filed under: uncultured bacterium
Lineage: Bacteria
Description: partial 16S ribosomal RNA
Rfam family: Bacterial small subunit ribosomal RNA
Source: RNAcentral
CCUACGGGGAGCAGCAGUGAGGAAUAUUGGUCAAUGGACGAGAGUCUGAACCAGCCAAGUAGCGUGAAGGAUGACUGCCCUAUGGGUUGUAACCUUCUUUUAUAAAGGAAUAAAACGAGGCACGUGUGCCUUUUUGCAUGUACUUUAUGAAUAAGGAUCGGCUAACUCCGUGCCAGCAGCCGCGGUAAUACGGAGGAUCCGAGCGUUAUCCGGAUUUCUUGGGUUUAAAGGGAGCGUAGAUGGGUUGUUAAGUCCGUUGUGAAAGUUUGCGGCUCAACCAUAAAAUUGCAAUUGAUACUGGCAGUCUUGAGUACAGUUGAGGUAAGCGGAAUUCGUGGUGUAGCGGUGAAAUGCUUAGAUAUCACGAAGAACCCCGAUUGCGAAGGCAGCUUACUAAACUGUGACUGACAUUGAUGCUCGAAAGUGUGGGUAUCAAACAGGAUUAGAUACCCUUGUAGUC